This 470-nucleotide ribosomal RNA is filed under the name uncultured bacterium. RNAcentral describes it as "bacterial SSU rRNA". It matches the Rfam family "Bacterial small subunit ribosomal RNA", at positions 335 to 802 of the family's 1533-position model. The record is from RNAcentral.
ACUCCUACGGGAGGCAGCAGUGGGGAAUAUUGCACAAUGGGCGCAAGCCUGAUGCAGCCAUGCCGCGUGUGUGAAGAAGGCCUUCGGGUUGUAAAGCACUUUCAGUCGUGAGGAAGGUAGUGUAGUUAAUAGCUGCAUUAUUUGACGUUAGCGACAGAAGAAGCACCGGCUAACUCCGUGCCAGCAGCCGCGGUAAUACGGAGGGUGCGAGCGUUAAUCGGAAUUACUGGGCGUAAAGCGCAUGCAGGUGGUUGUUAAGUCAGAUGUGAAAGCCCCGGGCUCAACCUCGGAAUAGCAUUUGAAACUGGCAGACUAGAGUACUGUAGAGGGGGUAGAAUUUCAGGUGUAGCGGUGAAAUGCGUAGAGAUCUGAAGGAAUACCGGUGGCGAAGGCGGCCCCUGGACAGAUACUGACACUCAGAUGCGAAAGCGUGGGAGCAAACAGGAUUAGAUACCCCUGGUAGACUGUCA